AUUGAACGCUGGCGGCAUGCCUAACACAUGCAAGUCGAGCGAGCGGCGGACGGGUGAGUAAUGUAUGGGGACUGCCCGAUAGCGGGGGAUAACUACUGGAAACGGUAGCUAAUACCGCAUACUAUCGGAUAACCCAUAUGGGAUUAGCUAGUAGGUGGGGUAAUGGCUGACCUGGGCAACGAUCCCUAGCUGGUCUGAGAGGAUGAUCCGCCACACUGGGACUAGGACACGGCCCAGACUCCUACGGAGGCAGCAGUGGGGAAUAUUGCGCAAUGGGCGCAAGCCUGAUGCGGCAAUGCCGCGUGGAUGAAGAAGGCCUUCGGGUUGUAAAGUACUUUCAGUGGGGAGGCGUUACCGACAGAAGAAGCACCGGCUAACUCCGUGCCAGCAGCCGCGGUAAUAC
This 403-nucleotide ribosomal RNA is filed under the name uncultured bacterium. RNAcentral describes it as "partial 16S ribosomal RNA". It matches the Rfam family "Bacterial small subunit ribosomal RNA", at positions 30 to 526 of the family's 1533-position model. The record is from RNAcentral.